CUUGGAGGAUGUAUAGCGAAAGCUAGUUGCAUUAAAUUCGAUUAAUUCGAAGUUAAUGCAUCAUCGACUAUGUCGAAUAAAGUUCUAGGUAGAGUUAUGAUAAUGACAUUUUCUAUCUAUGUGUCUUGACCAAGUCACGUGCCAGCAGUCGCGGUAAUACGUGGAAGACUAGUGUUAUUCAUCUUUAAUAGGUUUAAAGGGUACUUAGACGGUAAAUUAAGCCCAGAUAAAAACNAAGGGUACUAAUUAUACUAGAGUUGGAUAUGAGGAGGGUGUGUACUAGUGGUGUAGAGAUGAAAUUCAGUCAUACCAUUAUGACAGGCAACGGCGAAAGCAACCUUUAGAUAAAAACUGACGUUAAAGGACGAAGGCUUUGUGUCACCAACAGGAUUAGAUACCCAAGCAGUCUUAGCAGACAAUUAUGAAUGCCAUAGGUAAGAAGUUUUUUUUGUCUAUAAAUGAAAGUGUAAGCAUUCCACCUCAAGAGUAAUGUGGCAACGCAGAAACUGAAAUCAUUAGACCGUUUCUGAAACCAGUAGUGAAGUAUGUUGUUUAAUUAGAUGGUCCGCAAAAAACCUUACCACAAUUUGUAUAUUAUUAGCUUAAUACAAGAGUUGCACGGCUGUUUUUAGUUAAUGUCGNGAGAUUUUGGUUAGUUCCAUUAAAUUAACGUAAACCCUUACUUUAUUAUAUUAUAAAGU
This 701-nucleotide ribosomal RNA is filed under the name Circinaria hispida. RNAcentral's name for it is "SSU rRNA". It matches the Rfam family "Bacterial small subunit ribosomal RNA", at positions 400 to 1126 of the family's 1533-position model. The record is from RNAcentral. Lineage: Eukaryota; Fungi; Ascomycota; Lecanoromycetes; Pertusariales; Megasporaceae.